This 589-nucleotide ribosomal RNA is filed under the name uncultured marine ciliate. Its description in RNAcentral is "SSU rRNA". It matches the Rfam family "Eukaryotic small subunit ribosomal RNA", at positions 416 to 1019 of the family's 1831-position model. Lineage: Eukaryota; Ciliophora. The record is from RNAcentral.
UNANGGAAGGCAGCAGGCGCGUAAAUUNNNCAAUNCCUAACUCAGGGAGGUAGUGACAAGAAAUAACGANCUGAGGCCUUUGCUUCAGGAUUGCAAUGGGAAGAAUUUAAACCCCUUUUCGAGUAACAAUUGGAGGGCAAGUCUGGUGCCAGCAGCCGCGGUAAUUCCAGCUNCAAUAGCGUAUAUUUAAGUUGUUGCAGUUAAAAAGCUCGUAGUUGGAUUUCUGGCAGGACUCUAAUGUCCGCUCGUUGCGUGUGCAUAUGAGUCCUGCCAUCCUUCUGUUAACUGUUCUGGUAUUCGUUUACUGGUUCAGAGCCCAGAUAUUUUACCUUGAGAAAAUUAGAGUGUUUCAGGCAGGCUUGCGCUUGAAUACAUUAGCAUGGAAUAAUAGAAUAGGACUUUGGUCUCUUUUGUUGGUUUGAGGGACUAGAGUAAUGAUUAAUAGGGACAGUUGGGGGCAUUAGUAUUUAAUUGUCAGAGGUGAAAUUCUCGGAUUUGUUAAAGACUAACUUAUGCGAAAGCAUUUGCCAAGGAUGUUUUCAUUAAUCAAGAACGAAAGUUAGGGGAUCAAAGACGAUCAGAUACCGUC